Molecule: non-coding RNA, 858 nt
Organism: Heterocephalus glaber (naked mole-rat)
Lineage: Eukaryota; Metazoa; Chordata; Mammalia; Rodentia; Bathyergidae
Source: RefSeq, a predicted model, not a curated record
UCUUCCUGCUGUGACCACACUGGUUACAGCCCAUUUCCUGCCCUUCACCACUGCGCAGCUGCUUACUUGACGUUUUGGGAAGUGUGGUCUGUUGUGAUCCCGGGAGCUGGGGCUUUGCCCUCAAACUCUGGUCACAGCCAGAGUGUGGUGAAAAGAGGACUACCUGGUUCUGUUGGCUUUUGCAAAGCACUUUGUCAGUCAAGGCUCUUUCUCAAGAGCCUUCAACAGAGUUUCACUAAGUCCUUAUGUUGUCCAGACUGGGCUCAAAUUUGCAACCUUCCUUCCUCAGCCUUCUACAGUGCUGGAUUUGCAGCCUUGAAAAAGACAGGAGUGUGGGAUCAGGUCCCAUUGUGAUGGGCAAGAGUAGGAGGUGACAGAAGAUUGAAGCUCUGCUAAGGACUGCAGCUCCUUUGGGACAUGUUCCCUUGUUCAGGUUCUCAUGACCUUGCCUGAGACAAGCAAACGAGAUAGAGUCUUAAGACUAUUUUGCAUUCUGAAUGGUUAUUCUGAUCAUGAAUGAUAACAACAAUGCUGAAGACUAGCAGAAGCCAGGCCUGGCCGGGUUGUGUGAGAGAAGGAAGGAGAACAGAUUUGGACUGUGGUGAAAUGGGUCCCUCUCCUGGCUAAUGUAUAUGAAAGCAUGGGCUUUAAAAAACCAUCAACCGAAGCUGUUUCACAUAUAGGCUGUAUAAGAACUAAAAUGCUGAGUGGAGGGACGAACAUCCUCUCAUGUCCCCUGGGAGCCACAGGCUGAAUAAUGAGGAGCUUCCUUGGAAUAUUUACUUUUAACCAAGAAAACUGUCUCACAUGCCAUCAAGGAUACUGUCUUAAAAAUAAUCUGUUUUUACUAAUGAUGAA